GAUGAAGAACGCAGCGAAAUGCGAUACGUAAUGUGAAUUGCAGAAUUCAGUGAAUCAUCGAGUCUUUGAACGCACAUUGCGCCCGCUGGUAUUCCGGCGGGCAUGCCUGUUCGAGCGUCAUUUCAACCCUCAAGCUCUCCGGAGUUUGGUGUUGGGGCGCCUGGGGCUUUUCGACCUCAGGGCCCUCAAGUCCAUCGGCGGGACCGCCAGGACACUGAGCGCAGUAGUAUUAUUUCGCUCGGUAGGAUCUUCCACGGCGGGUCGAUCUGGCCGCUAAACCCCCCAAUUCUCACCAAAGGUUGACCUCGGAUCAGGUAGGAAUACCCGCUGAACUUAAGCAUAUCAAUAAGCGGAGGA
RNAcentral lists this unclassified non-coding RNA (357 nucleotides) under soil metagenome. RNAcentral's name for it is "partial contains 5.8S ribosomal RNA, internal transcribed spacer 2, and large subunit ribosomal RNA". The stretch from base 1 to 120 matches the Rfam family "5.8S ribosomal RNA", at positions 35 to 154 of the family's 154-position model. The record is from RNAcentral.